Molecule: long non-coding RNA, 1034 nt
Filed under: Marmota monax (woodchuck)
Lineage: Eukaryota; Metazoa; Chordata; Mammalia; Rodentia; Sciuridae
Source: RNAcentral
CUAUNUAAUGCCAUCCAUUUCCCUGUAAAUUCUAUGAUUUUGUCAUUUUUUAAUGCAGAGUAAUACUCCAUUGUGUAUAAAUGCCACAUUUUGCCCUUCAAUAGAUGAAUGGAUGAUUUUUCUUAAUAAAGCACCAUCUCAGAAUUAUAUGUUUCAUUUGAAACCCAUGGAGUUCUGGGAGGGAGCUGGAAUGGAACAGACAGACAGACAUUACUGCCCUAUUGACUGGUCCUCUGGUUCUAGGAAUAUUUUAUGUAUGAACACAUGUAUAAGACAGCUAGACCCUAAAGGUCAUCUGCCUGAUAUUUAAAAUGCCAGUAUAUCCUGAAAUAUAUUCUAAAUGACAAAUGUAAAAACUGUAAAUAGCAUGGAUCCUAGUAAGUUUGGAAUAAUAACACUUGCAUAGUGGAAAGUCAAAUUAUAAGAUCAAACUUCUCAAGAACAGUCCUGUGUAUUGGGUAAAACAUGUACUGUUAUUUCUGUGAAUACAAAUACACAUAAAUGACAAAAAGCAAAAGAUACAGAAACUAAUAUUUGUAUAAAAUCACACAGUAAGUGAUAAAGCUAUGAUUCAACCUACUUUUCAUGUAGCUCAGUACUCAACUACUGUUCCACAUGACCCCAGUCCCCUGCCUGAAUCAGGCGGAUAAUGCAUAUAUAACAGGGUUUCUAGAAUAUAGUGGCCAUCUUUAUUGGUAGAAUAUGACUCUAGAUUUAUGGUUAAUGCUCCAUUAAUAAUAAAUGGCAAAGAAUACUUGAAUGCAGUUUUCCAGUCUUAGAACAACCAUUACCAUGUUCUAAGCCCUGUUUCAAAGUUCUGGCCAUCUUCAUGAGAUUGUCAAUGAGUGAAACUAAUAUUAAAUACUAUUUUUUCCCUAUAGCCUAUGGUGAACAAAUCUGAAGCCAGUCUAGGCAGAAUUUUAGUCUGUGAGGCUCAAUUUCAAAUGCAUUAAAAUUCAUUAUAGAUGUGUUUCAAUGUGUGCAUAAAUCAUAUAAUACAUCAAAGCUAUAGUUAAGAUUUUUUUUUCUAAAAA